AUGCACUCAGCCCACAGGCCCCUGAUGCUUGCAUCCAGCGAGGCCUCCCGUGGCCUUGGCUCAUUUGUGUAGAGGAACGUGGAACCUUGCUCUGUGGCUGUGUUCCCCUGGUACUGUGUCCCCUUCCUGACCCCUCCCUGCAGUCACAUGAGGCCCAGCAACCUGCCAGUCACUCAGUGGCCUCCGACCAGACAAAAGAACCUGUCGAGUUGGCAGUUGUUGCUCAUGAGCAUCCACCAGGUGGGACAGGGAGUGCUGACCCUGGGCGGCCCCCUGGAACCACCUGCCCUGAAAGCCCAGGGCUUGGACCCCCAUACACUUUGUGGAUGGUGGAACCUGGCCCACCUCCCACCACAGACGAGGAGCCCUGGGCCCCUCAGGGGAGCCCCUGCUAGACAGUGAGACAGAGACUGACCAUGAUGAUGCUUUCCUCUCUGUCAUGUCUUCUGACACCCAGUUGCCUCUACUACCCAGAGGUGUCAGGCCCAGUCCCUCAGUGCCCUGCCCAAAGAACAGGACUCAUCUGAGAAGGAUGGAUGCAGCCCCAACAAAUGGGACAAGGACCACAUCCAGUGGCCCAUGAGUGGCAGUCAUGAUCUUCAGCAAGUGGCACCAGGCCCUGGUGGGGCCCACCAGUGUCACCCCAACCAGGACAACUGGACCAUCAGCCAGAUCCUGGGUGAGUGGUGGAACACCCUGGGGCCCAAUGAGAUGCAGAAGUACCAUGACCUGACCUCCCAGGUGAAGGUGGCCCACUUGCAACAAGGACCGAACAAAGUCCAGCUCAGAGGCCAAGCCCACAAGCCAGGGGCUAGCAGGAGGGUACAAGGGCUUGCAGGAGCAGAGCAUGUCAGAGAUGGGCAUUGCCACUGCCCCUGGGGUGUCCUCUGGCAGUUGUAUCCCAGACAUUCCUGAGCUGGGAUACCAAGGAGCAGCUUCUAUGGGGCAAAACGGCUGCACACAGGGAACCUGGCUCAGCUGGGCCCCAAGCCUUCUCCCACAGUGGGGUACGCAGCCUGGAUGGCGGGGAAGUGACCAUCAGGCACUACAGGAACUGAUGCAAGUGGUGUCUGGUGCUGCAUCGGACUCUGGCCCAAAGCCUCCUACCCAGUAUGGAGCUCCAGGCCCCUUGGCAGCCCCUGGUGAGGGAGGUGCCUUGGUGGCCAGUGGGCAGCCCCGCUGCUGCCCACCUGAGCUUCUCAUUCCCAGCAUGUGGCCAGUGAGGACACAGCAAGUGACGAGGAGCACAUGGUCAUCUGUGAGGAGGAAGGGGUGAUGAUGUCAUUGCUGACGAUGGCUUCAGCACCACUGACAUUGAUCUCAAGUACAAGGAGCAGGUGACUGACAGUGAGAGUGCAUACAGCUCUGGGGAGGACCAAGAGAGCAACAAGGGCUUUGGUGGGAAGGUGUUUGCACCUGUCAUCUGUUCCUCCUUUAUCCCCUGCCACCCCUUGCUGGACCCUGAGCCCCCAGGGUCCCCCGAUCCACCUGCAUCCUUGGCAAAGGCUAUGGUCCCACCCUGUCCUCCUCCUCCAUGUACUCGGAUGCUUCCUCCUCAACUCGGCAGCCACCUCCUUCUCACUGGGCCCAGGAACGUUCAAGGCCCAGGAGUAUGGUCAGGGCAGCAGAAAGGGCCCCCUACGGCCCUCACCCCUUGGGUAGAGAAACUGUACAGGUAGAGAAACCAAGGACUGGCUCAGGGAGCCGGAGUCUGAGAAGGUGCGGUCCUCCUCACUGCGGGCGCUGGACCAAUGCGGGCCCUGGUCAUGCAGCUCUUCCAGGACCACAGCUUCUUCCCGUCCCCCAGGCCACAGCCACCCUCCAGGCCUGCUAUGCAUACAUCUUCCCCUCCAAGGUUUGUGUGCAGAACAUCCUGCCCACGCGGUCCCAGCAGCUUCAGGCUACACCUGCCCCAGCACCAGCCUCUGGGACCCAGGCAGUGGCUCCUAGCGGCCCCGCACCCACCACCAGCAUCCGUUUCACCUGCAGUUGAAGAUCUGUGAGGUGCCCAGAAGAUCAUGCAGUGGCCACUCCCACGGAGAAGCCCCCAGGGCUGAGGCUUCCCCGCCUGGACCGCCCCCAACUGGCACCAUAGCUGCCUCUACCCAGACUCCCAGCCCCACGGGGGUCCUGACCCCACCUCACCCGGCUUGGAUUCUGGCUCCACCCAGGCCGCCCCACCACUGCUUCUGCCCCAGACAGCCUGAACAGCCUGGCUGAAAGGGGA
Chlorocebus sabaeus (green monkey) is the source of this 2227-nucleotide non-coding RNA. NCBI's taxonomy places the organism in Eukaryota, Metazoa, Chordata, Mammalia, Primates, Cercopithecidae. The record is from RefSeq and is a predicted model, not a curated record.